RNAcentral lists this ribosomal RNA (396 nucleotides) under uncultured bacterium. Its description in RNAcentral is "bacterial SSU rRNA". It matches the Rfam family "Bacterial small subunit ribosomal RNA", at positions 28 to 424 of the family's 1533-position model. The record is from RNAcentral.
GAUGAACGCUAGCGGGAGGCCUAAUACAUGCAAGUCGAACGGGUGAAUUAGCUUCGGUUGGUUCACUAGUGGCGCACGGGUGAGUAACGCGUACGCAAUCUGCCCUAUGCUGGGGAAUAGCCCUGGGAAACUGGGAGUAAUACGCCAUAGAUCUGUGGAUUCGCAUGGAUUUACAGAUAAAGCUGCGGCGGCAUAGGAUGGGCGUGCGUCUGAUUAGGUAGUUGGUGAGGUAACGGCUCACCAAGCCGACGAUCAGUAAGGGGCGUGAGAGCGUGGCCCCUNACACGGGUACUGAGACACGGACCCGACUCCUACGGGAGGCAGCAGUAAGGAAUAUGGACAAUGGCGCAAGCCUGAUCCAGCCAUCCCGCGUGCUUGAUGAAGGCCCUCUGGGUU